RNAcentral lists this ribosomal RNA (253 nucleotides) under uncultured bacterium. Its description in RNAcentral is "partial 16S ribosomal RNA". It matches the Rfam family "Bacterial small subunit ribosomal RNA", at positions 524 to 776 of the family's 1533-position model. The record is from RNAcentral.
UACGUAGGGUGCAAGCGUUGUCCGGAAUUAUUGGGCGUAAAGAGCUCGUAGGCGGUCUGUUGCGUCGGCUGUGAAAACCCGGGGCUCAACUCCGGGCCUGCAGCCGAUACGGGCAGACUAGAGUUCGGUAGGGGAGACUGGAAUUCCUGGUGUAGCGGUGAAAUGCGCAGAUAUCAGGAGGAACACCGGUGGCGAAGGCGGGUCUCUGGGCAUUACCUGACGCUGAGGAGCGAAAGCAUGGGGAGCGAACAGG